GGAGAGGUGCGAGAGUGGUUUAAUCGGCACGCCUGGAGAGCGUGUGUGACGGAGACGUCACCGCGGGUUCGAAUCCCGCCCUCUCCG
RNAcentral lists this transfer RNA (87 nucleotides) under Pseudomonadota bacterium. RNAcentral describes it as "tRNA-Ser". It matches the Rfam family "tRNA". From Rfam's summary of the family: Transfer RNA (tRNA) molecules are approximately 80 nucleotides in length. Their secondary structure includes four short double-helical elements and three loops (D, anti-codon, and T loops). Lineage: Bacteria; Pseudomonadati; Pseudomonadota. RNAcentral also lists the same sequence under 1 other name. The record is from RNAcentral.